UUGACCUCGGAUUAGGUAGGAAUACCCGCUGAACUUAAGCAUAUCAAUAAGCGGAGGAAGAA
Molecule: ribosomal RNA, 62 nt
Filed under: Annulohypoxylon nitens
Lineage: Eukaryota; Fungi; Ascomycota; Sordariomycetes; Xylariales; Hypoxylaceae
Description: partial 28S ribosomal RNA
Rfam family: Eukaryotic large subunit ribosomal RNA
Source: RNAcentral